GAUGAACGCUAGCGGCAGGCCUAAUACAUGCAAGUCGAACGGUUGGUCGCAAGCCCACUAGUGGCGCACGGGUGCGUAGCGCGUAACUAACCUACACCGAACUGACGUAUAGCCCGCUGAAAGGUGGAUUAAUACCGCAUUUACCCGCACCCUAGCUUCAGGCACUGGGGAAUGAUGGGUUGGAUCGGGAUGGGGUUUCGUGACAUGAGGUAGUUGGCGGGGUAAGGGACCACCGAGGGGACGAUGUCUAGGGGGGCUGUGAGGGUGAUCCCCCACACGGGUACGGAGCUGCGGGCCAGACUACGACGGGAGGCAGCAGUAGGGAAUAGUGGGCGAGGGGCGAGAGCCUGCCCCAGCCAUGCCGCGUGCCGGAUGAAGGCCUUCUGGGGUGUAAACGGCUUUUCUCAGGGAAGAAAAAGACCUUGCGAGGUACACUGACUGUACCUGGGGAAUAAGCACCGGCUAACUCCGUG
RNAcentral lists this ribosomal RNA (473 nucleotides) under uncultured bacterium. RNAcentral describes it as "partial 16S ribosomal RNA". It matches the Rfam family "Bacterial small subunit ribosomal RNA", at positions 28 to 507 of the family's 1533-position model. The record is from RNAcentral.